ACAACAGAGAUAAUUUGCUUGAUUUAGAUUCCCAAGUGGAUAACUUUGGUAAUUCUGGAGCUAAUACAUGCCUCGAUGCCCUGACCGUGAGGAAAGGGUGCAGUUAUUAGAUCAAAACCAAACGGGCUUGCCCGUGUUUUGUUGACUCUGAAUAACCAUUCCGAUCGCAUGGUCUCGUACCGGCGACGUAUCAUUUCAAGACUCUGCCCUAUCAACUUCCGAUGGGAGGUCAUGUGCCUCCCAUGGUUGUGACGGGUAACGGAGAAUAAGGGUUCGACUCCGGAGAGGGAGCCUGAGAAACGGCUACCACAUCCAAGGAAGGCAGCAGGCGCGCAAAUUACCCACUCUCAGCACGAGGAGGUAGUGAAUAGAAAUAACAAAGUAGAUGUCUUUGAUGUCUACUAUUGGAAUGGGUACAAUUUAAAACCCAUAACGAGGACCUAUGAGAGGGCAAGUCUGGUGCCAGCAGCCGCGGUAAUUCCAGCUCUCAUGGCGUAUAUCGUCAUUGUUGCAGUUAAAAAGCUCGUAGUUGGAUGUCAGCGAUUGGCCGUGGUCCGCUCUUUGGGCGUGCACUGCGUGCCUUCGUUAACGCGUCGGUCUUCGGUCGUUCUUCGGGGCGGCCGUGGCUGACAAGAUUACUUUGAACAAAUCAGAGUGCUUAAAACAGGCUUGUGCCUGAAUGAUCUUGCAUGGAAUAAUGGAAUAGGACUGCGGUUCUAUUUUGUUGGUUCUCGGAACCGUAGUAAUGAUUAAGAGGAACAAACGGGGGCAUUCGUAUCGCUGCGCGAGAG
This 791-nucleotide ribosomal RNA is filed under the name Bunonema sp. 1 GVDU-2019. RNAcentral describes it as "SSU rRNA". It matches the Rfam family "Eukaryotic small subunit ribosomal RNA", at positions 103 to 910 of the family's 1831-position model. The record is from RNAcentral. Lineage: Eukaryota; Metazoa; Nematoda; Chromadorea; Rhabditida; Bunonematidae.